Indicator indicator is the source of this 145-nucleotide long non-coding RNA. RefSeq lists it as uncharacterized. The transcript has 3 exons. The record is from RefSeq and is a predicted model, not a curated record. Lineage: Eukaryota; Metazoa; Chordata; Aves; Piciformes; Indicatoridae.
AUAAGUUGAGAGCUGCAUCACCUUGGGACGCUUGCAGAUCCCAGCCUGCCUGUCCCCUUUGCCAGGGAGCUCGGUGCUUCUCUCUGCUCCUCCCAGAAACCCAUCACCAACAUGUCUGAUACCGAGGAAGUGGAUCAAGGAGAGG